UACAGAUUUACGGGCAAGAUGGUGCAUAC
This 29-nucleotide non-coding RNA is filed under the name Rattus norvegicus (Norway rat). Lineage: Eukaryota; Metazoa; Chordata; Mammalia; Rodentia; Muridae. The record is from RNAcentral.